This 768-nucleotide ribosomal RNA is filed under the name Triticum aestivum (bread wheat). RNAcentral describes it as "partial small subunit ribosomal RNA". Lineage: Eukaryota; Viridiplantae; Streptophyta; Magnoliopsida; Poales; Poaceae. The record is from RNAcentral.
AUGGCGCUGCCGCAGCCAGCACCACCGCCGGAGACGCCGAUCUUCAGAACCCUAGACGAGCUCCUCCACGACAUCUUCCUCCGCCUCCCCGCUGCCGCCGACCUGGCCCGCGCCUCCGCGGCGUGCCGCUCCUUCCGCCGUCUCAUCGCCGACCACGCCUUCCUCCACCGCUACCGCGCCCUCCACCCGCCGCCUCUCAUCGGCGUGGUCCGCAAUGGCACCUUCAUCCAGGCCCAGCCACCGCACCCCUCCGCCGUCGCCGCCCGCGCCUUCGCCGGCUUCGACUUCUCCUGCUCCUCCUUCCUCCCCUCCACCGCCGGCCGUACCUGGAGGCGGAUUGACUUCUUCGACGGACGCGCCCUCAUCGCCGGCGCCCCAGUCCAGGAAGAAAACAGCGUUCUUGGUGGGCGCCACUUCCGGUACCACAAUUUUUUGGUCAGGGACCUCGCCGUGUGCGACCCCGUGCACCGCCGCUACACCCUGCUGCCGGCUGUCCCCGGGGACCUGAAAGCGCUGGUCCGUGAAAAUGAGCUUUUUGAGCUGGAGACUUUCCUUGCUCCUGGCGAUGAUGAUGAUGAUGAGGACCCUUUAUCAUUCAGGGUGAUGUGCUUGGUGCAAUGCAGAUUGAAUAUCCCUGGUCAGAAUGUAUUUAAUCUGGUUCCUUAUGUUGUUGUACCAUAUCCUUUCUUGAUCUACACCCUUUCAGCAUCAUUAUUGUCUCCUCUGCAUCUGCUUUAUCAAGCUCCCCAGCUCUUGCAUCUGCUAUGA